UGGCAGUGCUGGCAAGCAUCUCCCCAUUAACACCCCCCUCAUCCUGCACCAUGUUUCAGGCAGCCAGCUACCACAGAGGGAUUUUUAUUUGGGCAGUGACAUUGGUCCCUUAUGACUUCAAGAGACAAAAACCAGGAGGGACACUCAAGAGCAGCUGGUUAACAAGGUCCUGAGUGCCCUAAUUGGAAGUGGGGUUGAUCAAGAGAAGGGCUGUGUCCCUGCCAGCCCAGGAAGGUGCUGGUGCCAGAGCCCUGUGCUCCAGGAGAAGCAGGCGGAGGGAAGCAGCUCCACGAGCUCUGCCGACACCGCUCAGCCCAUUCAUCAGUGCCACCACAGAGAAUAAAUAUUUAUAAAUGGUGUGUCAGGCCUAAUGUGAUAAAUUAUCUCCAGUCAUCACUGAGAUGGCUCAAGAUGUGUUAAGCCAGUUUUAAACAUUUAGCUAAGAAAAUGUCUGAGUGGAGUUGAAGGAGGAAGAACAAGAAAAAAAUCCCCACAUGUACCAAAAAGAGGACAAAACAUUUACCUGUUUGACUUUGCACCAAACUCCUGGCCUGGGUUUGAGAAGUGCAAGUAACCUGUCGAAGUACAUUAAAACUCUCUUGACUUACUCCAGUUUAUUGUAAAUAUUACAGCAAAUCCAUUGUAAACAGCAGCAAGAGGCUUUUGGGAACCCAUUAAUCAAAAUAAACUGCUCUGGAAAAUGCCUCUGCUCAG
Molecule: long non-coding RNA, 714 nt
Organism: Zonotrichia leucophrys gambelii
Lineage: Eukaryota; Metazoa; Chordata; Aves; Passeriformes; Passerellidae
Exons: 2
Source: RefSeq, a predicted model, not a curated record